Long non-coding RNA from Zalophus californianus (California sea lion), 190 nucleotides. RefSeq lists it as uncharacterized. The record is from RefSeq and is a predicted model, not a curated record. NCBI's taxonomy places the organism in Eukaryota, Metazoa, Chordata, Mammalia, Carnivora, Otariidae. The transcript has 3 exons.
UGAGAGUGAGCAGCAUUUUACAAAGAAGGGCACUGGAUACAGAAAGACAAGAUUUCUAUGAAUAGACCAAAAACAGACCCCUACAGGAUGUCUGGGUGCAGGCACCUUGGGCUGCUGUAACAGGAUAUCAUAGACUGGAUGACUGAAAAGACAAGCAUUAUUUCUCACAGUUCUAGAGGCUGAGAAUUCC